CUGGUGGCCUGGAUCCAGGUUGGGAGCCUCGGAACCUUGCUGGGUUCGGAGGAAACGGUGCCGCCUGGCUUGCCCCAACCCAGACACUCUGCUUGCCCUCGGCUGGCUGGACCGGAGAAAGCCCCUUUGUGGCUCGAUGCUCCCGGCACUCAGAUUUUUCUCGCAAACAGAGUCUUUGUUGUUCUCACCCCAUCUCACUGCCCAGUUUUCUGUUCCAGUUUUGUUUCCUCACCAGGCCCAAUCUGUGCUCGCGUUCUACUAAUAGGAGGCAGCGCAGGGUGUUUUUCAUCUCCCUCCUCCCUCCCGGGUCACCCAGGAAAUGUGUCAAGGUCUGGACUCUGCAGGUGUGGAGCAGUGCUGCCAUCUGUCCAGAAGAGGGCGCGAUCUGCAUUCUUCAGAACUG
This 403-nucleotide long non-coding RNA is filed under the name Cricetulus griseus (Chinese hamster). RNAcentral's name for it is "lncRNA (ENSCGRG00015032388.1)". The record is from RNAcentral. Lineage: Eukaryota; Metazoa; Chordata; Mammalia; Rodentia; Cricetidae.